Molecule: ribosomal RNA, 387 nt
Filed under: uncultured eukaryote
Lineage: Eukaryota
Description: SSU rRNA
Rfam family: Eukaryotic small subunit ribosomal RNA
Source: RNAcentral
AGCUCCAAUAGCGUAUAUUAAAGCUGUUGCGGUUAAAAAGCUCGUAGUUGGAUUUCUGUCAAGGUGCGUCGGUCCUUGCUUCGCAAGCGUAUCUGAUUUGCACUUUGGCAUCCUCGCGGGGGGCGUUGGGGUGAUUGAGUUCAUCACAGCGUUUAUUCGCGACUUUUACUUUGAGGAAAUUAGAGUGUUCACGGCAGGCUUUAUGCCUAUUGAAUACAUUAGCAUGGAAUAAUAACAUAGGACCUUGGUGCUAUUUUGUUGGUUUCUAGAGCUAAGGUAAUGAUUAAUAGGGAUAAUUGGGGGCAUUCGUAUUAACGCGUCAGAGGUGGAAUUCUUGGAUUGCGUUACGACGAACUACUGCGAAAGCAUUUGCCAAGGAUGUUUUCA